CCAUAGCCCUGAUUGCAGCGGCAUCCUUUUUUGUCAUGAUGACCAAAGCUUCUUAUAAAAUCCCUGACAAUAUCUGCAAUGACAAAAAAGAUACAGCGGAAAGCAGGUUCCCGG
RNAcentral lists this small RNA (114 nucleotides) under Epilithonimonas mollis. RNAcentral describes it as "Chryseobacterium molle Flavo-1 RNA". It matches the Rfam family "Flavo-1 RNA". Lineage: Bacteria; Pseudomonadati; Bacteroidota; Flavobacteriia; Flavobacteriales; Weeksellaceae. The record is from RNAcentral.